This 301-nucleotide ribosomal RNA is filed under the name uncultured bacterium. RNAcentral's name for it is "partial 16S ribosomal RNA". It matches the Rfam family "Bacterial small subunit ribosomal RNA", at positions 509 to 807 of the family's 1533-position model. The record is from RNAcentral.
CAGUAGCCGCGGGAAUACGUAGGGUGCAAGCGUUAAUCGGAAUUACUGGGCGUAAAGCGUGCGCAGGCGGUUUUGUAAGUCUGUCGUGAAAUCCCCGGGCUCAACCUGGGAAUGGCGAUGGAGACUGCAAGGCUAGAAUCUGGCAGAGGGGGGUAGAAUUCCACGUGUAGCAGUGAAAUGCGUAGAUAUGUGGAGGAACACCGAUGGCGAAGGCAGCCCCCUGGGCUAAGAUUGACGCUCAUGCACGAAAGCGUGGGGAGCAAACAGGAUUAGAUACCCGGGUAGUCCCUGUCUCUUAUAC